RNAcentral lists this ribosomal RNA (169 nucleotides) under Clitopilus sp. Its description in RNAcentral is "partial large subunit ribosomal RNA". It matches the Rfam family "Eukaryotic large subunit ribosomal RNA", at positions 99 to 261 of the family's 3401-position model. The record is from RNAcentral. Lineage: Eukaryota; Fungi; Basidiomycota; Agaricomycetes; Agaricales; Entolomataceae.
CGGGAAAAGCUCAAAUUUAAAAUCUGGUAGUCUCUGGCUGCCCGAGUUGUAAUCUAGAGAAGCGUUAUCCGUGCUGGACCGUGUAUAAGUCUCCUGGAAUGGAGCGUCAUAGAGGGUGAGAAUCCCGUCUUUGACACGGACUCCCAGUGCAUUGUGAUGCGCUCUCGAA